RNAcentral lists this long non-coding RNA (1206 nucleotides) under Linum usitatissimum (flax). RNAcentral's name for it is "long non-coding RNA (LUSI_LNC006111)". The record is from RNAcentral. Lineage: Eukaryota; Viridiplantae; Streptophyta; Magnoliopsida; Malpighiales; Linaceae.
AAGAGGAGAAAGAGAGAGAAUAUUGAGCCAAUUGCAAGAGGGAAGAUCCAGCGCCGCCUAUCCGCCGCCUGGUGGUGGUGCCGGAAAUGCAUGUAGUAGUUCUUCAGCCGCUUCAUAUUUUCUUCCUUUUUCUGGUGUGGGGGUUCCGAUUUUCCUGGAGGUGUGAAGAUGGUUGUGUGACUGGUUUGGUCUGGGAUUGGGGAGGGGUAUAUAAAUUAGAUGGUGGAGGAGGAGGGAAAAUGUCACGGUGGCGGUGGGGGGCCGGGGGGGGGGGUUCGUGGGGGAGGGAAAAGGGGGGGGGGAGAAGAGCGAGCAGUGGGAAGAGGAUCCCGCGGCAGAUAAGAGAACACGUGCAGCAGAUCUAUCAAAGCCAAACAGAAACAAAAACCGUCAAUCAACAGGAACACGAAGUUCACCAAGCUGAUCAGUAGUGUUUAAAAAAUCUCACCGUCCUGAGUCACGAGCGGGUAGUCGGAAGCACUGAGGUUAAUGAACCAAUCCCAAUCGGAUCCUUCCCUCAGCAAGAUCGCCGCAGCGUGAAGCGUAUUGGCAACCAUGGUGGGACCUCUGUAAGUGACGAGGUUAGCCUUGGCAAUCAUCUUCACAUUCCCGAACUUGACAAAAACCCUAUGGUCCCUCACGAAAUCGGCCAGAUCCGUCCGCUCGUCAGGGGAGGACUCGGCGUCCAAAUGCACCACGUAGCGGUUAUUAGGGUGGUAGAGAGCAAGUAGGGUUCGCUUGAGCAUGUCGCCGUCGCCCUUGGAGCCGGAGAUCAAGUAGGCGAAUCGCGGCGGCGGAGGGAGAUCGGAGAGCGGGAUGGGCUGCAGCUUGGUCUCGACGAAUUUGGAGCUGAAGGAUGAGUACAUUGUGCGGUAGAAGGGGAAGAUUGGGACACCGGCAGGGGAAUAGACGGUAGUAGUUAGGAAGAGGAGAAAGAGAGAGAAUAUUGAGCCAAUUGCAAGAGGGAAGAUCCAGCGCCGCCUAUCCGCCGCCUGGUGGUGGUGCCGGAAAUGCAUGUAGUAGUUCUUCAGCCGCUUCAUAUUUUCUUCCUUUUUCUGGUGUGGGGGUUCCGAUUUUCCUGGAGGUGUGAAGAUGGUUGUGUGACUGGUUUGGUCUGGGAUUGGGGAGGGGUAUAUAAAUUAGAUGGUGGAGGAGGAGGGAAAAUGUCACGGUGGCGGUGGGGGGCCGGGGGGGGGGGUUCGUGGG